CUCCAGUACUGAACCUAAGAGGGUGGAGGAACAAGUUUCUGCUCCUUGACGUCACCAACAGCACAGAAUGAGCUCAGGAAUCUGCUGUCCUCUCUACAGGGUUUGCAGAAGAUGCUGCAAACUCAGCAAGUGCUUCUGACAUUUCUGAGUCAACUCUGCAUGCAGCAGACCAGCCGCAGCCCAAGGCAACACCUCACACUCUCCCGGCUCUGUGGCCGCGCUGGACUGAGCCGUGUGUAUCUUGCUGUGCCGAUAGCAGGUCACGAAGAUGAAACUGAGGUUUAGCAGGGUCCAGCCGUCUGCAUGUCACCCGCUGCAAUCGGGAACUAAUUCAGAGGGAAACCAGUGGAAGCUGCCUCCUACAGUGGAGAAAAGCUGCCUGUCCCCGGAACCAGCUGAUUUCUCUGUAUGGAUAACCUGCAUCUCCUCCCAGCCCUGUCCCCUUCAGUGAAUCGAUGACCGAACAGAUACUUCGGUCAGUGCUGGCCCAGAAUGGAAAGCACACCCCUCCUCGUCCACAGAGAACGUAAUCCAUCCGCAACGUUAAUAACUGACUGAAGAGCCUUUUUUGACAUCCUCAUUUGUUCUGCUGUGUAAUAGCAUGAGAGCUUUCCGAGCUGUCGACAUCUGCUCCGCUCUGGAGAGCUGCAGGGCCGAGCCAGCGAAGCAAUCAUCAUUAUGCCCGCCUGGGCUGCAAAGGAUGCGAGAGAUGAGGAGGAAGACAAGGAAAAAUACGUCCGGUGCAAUGGUGCUCUAACCUAAUCCAGGAAUCCUGCUGAGGCCAAAUGUCUUGAAGUCAACCAGGACCCGGGGUGAGCCAGCCCUGCAUCCCAGGUGAAUCCCAGGGCCCUGCUUGGUCCUGAAGACAAUGCACUGCGGAUGGACUAGCCGUCAGCAAGGUGGGAGGCAGGUAAGGCCGUCCAGAGAGCAUCCCUUUCCUGCCCAGGCCAUCCACCUCCCCAGCCUGUUCCCACCGGGACCCACUCCUAAACUUGCGCCAUAACAUUCUCCCAACAUCCUCUACCGCUCAGGCCCUGUCCUCAGAGGCUGGUGGCAGGAUGAGCUAAAGACAAGGAUGCAGAACUUAGCACAGCCAGGCUCAAGAGCAGGAGUCCUGAGCUUUGCCGGUUCAGCCCUUCCCCAAGUUAACAUUAUAAACUGA
This is a long non-coding RNA of Myotis daubentonii (Daubenton's bat), 1162 nucleotides long. RefSeq lists it as uncharacterized. NCBI's taxonomy places the organism in Eukaryota, Metazoa, Chordata, Mammalia, Chiroptera, Vespertilionidae. The record is from RefSeq and is a predicted model, not a curated record.